Molecule: long non-coding RNA, 309 nt
Organism: Poecile atricapillus (Black-capped chickadee)
Lineage: Eukaryota; Metazoa; Chordata; Aves; Passeriformes; Paridae
Exons: 3
Source: RefSeq, a predicted model, not a curated record
GCCCCCUCAGGUGAUUUUGGGGUGCCCCUGAGGUGAUUUUGGGGUCCCCCAUCCCCCCCAGGUGUUUUUGGGGUCCCCCUGAGGUGAUUUUGGGGUCCCCCAUCCCCCCCAGGUGAUUUUGGGGUCCCCCAUCCCCCUGAGGUGAUUUUGGGGUCCCCCUGAGGUGAUUUUGGGGUCCCCCAGCCCCCCAGGUGUUUUUGGGGUGCCCCUGACCGCGGAUCUCCAGGCGACACUCGGUCAGGGCCUCUCCCAGCUCGUUGACGGCGCGGCAGGUGUAGGUGCCGCCGUCGAAGGGCCCCGGUUUGCGGA